UUUAAAGCGUGAAACUGUUGACAUGUCUUUUGAGGAACAGGCCCCUUUGAAAAGCAGUACCUUCUAUCUGCUGUCUGGACAUAUUGUGUCGUCUAGAUACAGUAGUUUUCCUUACAUCACCAACUGAGAACAUCUUUUCAGGACAAUCAGUCAAGGAAAUUAAGGAGACUGCUACCAUUUGUCUGCUUUGGAUGCCAACAUCGAUUACAGAAGGAAUGGAGAUACUUCCUAGUAAGGAAACUUUCAACUGACUGCAGCCUCUCUGUCAAAUCUUCUGGGCCCUCUCAAACAACAGCGAGAGAGGAUGCAUGUCACAGCCAUGGCUUCAGAGACUCGGGAUGAAAUUCAGGAAUGUUCUCGGGAUGUGCGGCAAUUUACGGCGUGUUUGCGGAGCGUUUGCAGUACUUCCCCGUGUCAAUUAAAGACAAGCCACGAACGCCUUCAGCGGAAAAACCCACGCCACGGUCCCCGAUGUUUAUUUCACGCUCCC
Molecule: long non-coding RNA, 490 nt
Filed under: Parus major (Great Tit)
Lineage: Eukaryota; Metazoa; Chordata; Aves; Passeriformes; Paridae
Description: lncRNA (ENSPMJG00000003868.1)
Source: RNAcentral